AGUUGGGACACGACGGCUGUACAAGCCUACACUCCACACUCACUCGUAUCUCGCCUUUUCCUCUCCCUCUCCUUCUCCACCCGCAAUGCCGCCGGAGAACAAACUAGCGUUGGUGCCUCAGCCGAGCUACACCACCGAGUUCAGAUCGUUCAACGACGAUGCUUGGUACUCGGUGGCCAUCUCUUUGGAAUCCCAAAUGCAGCUCAGAAUAAAAUACUCCAAUUUUUCCGAUGAUCACGAAUGUCAUCAGCUCCGUCAAGGCGUCAGGGUUUGUGCCUGCCACCGCUUCAGCAACGACGACGUUCGCUUCUACGACGCUGAGGUUGAUUCGGUGCAACAAAAUGAGCAUUCUUUUGAAGCCGGAGAGGAAUUGUGCUCUUGCAGAUUUGUGCUAUCGUGGUUGCAUGGGCCAAAUGAAGGAAAAUUAACCCAUACAACCAUUGAUAGUAUUUGUUUGGUUCAGCCUGUGGUAGAGCUGGAUCCUGUACUUACUUCAUUUCUAGUGGCUAGGGAGACAGCAGAAUGUCUUCUGGCUCGUCCGAUCUCCAUGGCAAAGGAAGUUUUUGGACGUGAAAUUGUUGUAUCCUGCAACGAACGCCCAACUACUGUUCCUAGGCUGGGUUAUUUUGAACGAAAUAAGAAGGAAAAACGACGCGCCAAGCGGUCUGUUGUGAAAUCUGACUCAUCUGAAGUCAGACGCCGACGCCAACGAAUGGGAGAGAGCGAUCUAGAAGGGUUGAAAAACCAGUGUGCAAUAUUGAUUGGCAAUGUUGAGAAGGAGUUAGGUCCAUUAGCUGUUGCCAACUUCCUGCAUGCACACAUUGAAAUGUCGCCUCGGGUUUUCAUUUUUCCGAGUUGUUCAUCAGAAAUAUAUACCAAGGCUGCCAUUGUUCUAGAUACUGAAAAAGAUUUUCAGAAGCUAUGUGAAUUUUUGGAUAAUCACAACCACAUCAUAACAUCUUCAACUGGCAGCCAAUUGAAUUAUUAGCUUGGUGACACUACAAAAGAGAGGAACUUGUGUUCAAAUAUCUAUAGGCCGUGGGUGAUUAUGGAAAAGUUAGUGGGGCUGAAAAAAAUUAAAGCGUCACUAGGAACAUUGUUGCCUGAAUCUAAGAAUCAAAAUGGCAGAAUGGGCAACCAUCUGAAGGUUGUUCCAUCAGGGACUCAAGAAUUCAAGACUGCCAGUGACCACAGAGAUUUGUUUUUGGAAUUUACUAAUCACCUAAAGCAACUAUAUAAGAAGCUAGCAUCAGAGGAGAGAUCGAUCUAUGGUAGUUUGUGAUAAUUGUUCAUAUUUUUAUCACCAGUUUUGUAUAUAAUUUUUUGUUGACAGUUGUAGAAAUAACUAUGUCUAUUAGAUUGUUGACAUUUGACACUUCGGAUUUUUUUAGUAUAGUUAAGCUUGCAUGAAAUUCUUGAGUAGUUGCAAAAUUCUCGAGUAGUUACAUAAAAAUCUUUUGUAUACUAUUAUUGCAAUUA
Non-coding RNA from Arachis ipaensis, 1479 nucleotides. The record is from RefSeq and is a predicted model, not a curated record. Lineage: Eukaryota; Viridiplantae; Streptophyta; Magnoliopsida; Fabales; Fabaceae.